GUUAGUGUGCAACUAAACAUGGGUAGUGGUACAAACAUGGUACAGCUCCUCAGACUAUUAGUUGUUCUGCUGUGGACUACAAGUCUAACUGAUGGCAGCGAUGUCAACCAGACUGACAUCCUGUGGAAAACACAGGGAGACAAUGCAACCAUGAGCUGCAGACACACAAAGGAUGCUAGCCACUUCCAGAUGUACUGGUACAGACAGCUGCCAGGAGAAACUAUGGAGCUAAUCGUGUUCACAAGAUCUGGGGUCAAUAAUCAUGAUUUUGGAGAAUUCGGUAGCAAAGACAAGUUCUCAGCCACAAAGCCUGACGCUGAGAGCGGGACGUUCACAGUGAAGGAUCUGCAGCCAGGAGACAAAGGCUUGUACUUCUGUGCUGUGAGUCAACACAGUGACACACACACAGGAGGAGGCUGAACAAAAACCCUCACUGCUGCUACACCUCUCCAUCCUGCAGCUCAGACUGUAGGGGGGGCUGGAGGACAGCAAACACUCAGCUACACUCUGACUACCCCACACAUCUUUUAUGUCGCCUGUAACUCUCUCUGUUUUUACACUAUCAGUGGUGUCUUCUGACUUUCUGAACAAGGUCUCGCUCUACUCAAAGUACUAAACUAAAUUUGAACACAGUGUCACGGCUUCCCUCCUCUAUAGGCCACUUUAGACGCCUUUUAAAAACAGACAUUUUGAACGCGUUAUCUUUCAAGUUAUUAGUUUCCACUCUUGUUUGUGAUGACCUGGGAUGUGUGUGUGGCUGGCUUGAUGUUAUACGGCUCGUGUGGUGAAUAUCAAUUCAUAAAAACUGUAUCUACAAGAAUUCAACAAAGAAAAUAGGUCUUUACAAGAUUUAAAAACAUUGCAAAUUCUGAGGUUUUCUUUUAUGUUCAGUACAAAACUCAACUGAAUGCAAUACAAAUUA
Non-coding RNA from Trematomus bernacchii (emerald rockcod), 922 nucleotides. The record is from the annotation of a RefSeq genome assembly. NCBI's taxonomy places the organism in Eukaryota, Metazoa, Chordata, Actinopteri, Perciformes, Nototheniidae.